This 468-nucleotide ribosomal RNA is filed under the name uncultured bacterium. RNAcentral describes it as "partial 16S ribosomal RNA". It matches the Rfam family "Bacterial small subunit ribosomal RNA", at positions 28 to 507 of the family's 1533-position model. The record is from RNAcentral.
GACGAACGCUGGCGGCGUGCUUAACACAUGCAAGUCGAACGGAAAGGCCCUGCUUUUGUGGGGUGCUCGAGUGGCGAACGGGUGAGUAACACGUGAGUAACCUGCCCUUGACUUUGGGAUAACUUCAGGAAACUGGGGCUAAUACCGGAUAGGAGCUCCUGCUGCAUGGUGGGGGUUGGAAAGUUUCGGCGGUUGGGGAUGGACUCGCGGCUUAUCAGCUUGUUGGGGGGGUAGUGGCUUACCAAGGCUUUGACGGGUAGCCGGCCUGAGAGGGUGACCGGCGACAUGGGGACUGAGAUACGGCCCAGACGCGUACGGUAGGCAGCAGGGGGGAAUAUUGCACAACGGGCGGAAGCCUGAUGCAGAAACGCCGCGUGCGGGAUGACGGCCUUCGGGUUGUAAAACGCUUUCGCCUGUGACGAAGCGUGAGUGACGGUAAUGGGUAAAGAAGCACCGGCUAACUACGUG